Molecule: RNA transcript, 2112 nt
Organism: Hyaena hyaena (striped hyena)
Lineage: Eukaryota; Metazoa; Chordata; Mammalia; Carnivora; Hyaenidae
Exons: 3
Source: RefSeq, a predicted model, not a curated record
GAACACCACGUCUACGGUCCUGGGAAACAAGCGUUCUCUUGUUUAACUGCGAUGGGGUUCCGGCCAAUGUCACAACUCUGAGGAAGACCAGGUCUUCAAAUGAGACGACCUGAUGACUCCUGAAAUUCGGCACAACCCCCUCAAUUUGCACGAACGACUCUCCUUGAUCCUCUCUGGAGCUUCUGAGCCAGCGUCUCCGUCCCUAACCGGCCGCCAGCUGCGAGUUUGCCUGCUCAGGUAGGCAGCCCCCGACCGCCGGCCGCUCUCACACGCGGCUCUGCGCUGGCCCCUUGCCAGGCGAGCCGCACCCUGCACGUGCCACCCCCGGACGGACGGCGCUCCAGGCUCGGGGCUCCCGCGGCUCACCCCCCUUGCGGCCUCCUGUCACUGAGGACAGUCACAUCCCGAAGGGACGCCGUGCCAGUUCCCCGAGGCGCAGCCGCACCUGUCCCUGCGGACGGCCGGUCCCUGGAGACCGCGCGGCCCCUGCACGGGGUCCCUCCUCCGUGCCGGGGAGAGCCGCUGCGUGCGCACUGACGCAGGGUGUGGGGCCCUCCACACCUCCCCGUGUGCUCCGUGCCUUUCAGCACCCCCGGCCCCGCUCCCUUGUGUCCCUUCCCUGCACGACGUGGAAGGGCAGCCCCUGCCCGCCUCUCCUGCCCCUUCUUCCUGUCGCACCUCCCAGCACCAAGAUGUCGCAGGGCCGAGUCCUCUCCCAGGACUAGCACGAUGCUGGGCGCACGGCCCCUCUCCCUACCUCGGUCACCCGCUGUGCCUGGCUGCCAGGACCCAGUUCCCCAAGGCCCUCCCCGCCUCGGUCCCUGGUUCGCUGCAGGGGCUUCCUGAGCCCGUAACGCUGCAGCGCACCCAACUCCACGCAGGGCCCCUUCCUCCUUCUGCCCUUGUGCUCGGGACCCCAGCCAGCGCCCCGGCCUGACACAGCCUCCGUGAGCCUGGGACGCCCGCGUUCUGUCCUCAGCUCAGCCCUCCUUCCGGAAUCGCAGGCCAGCGGCUCUCCUGCCCCCCUCCCCCCACCGCGCCCCAGUAUCUGGCCUCUGAGACCCAACCUGGCCUUCUCCCUGCAUCUCAGCCUCCACUGCGGCCGCCUCCAACUCAGCUCCUGGCCGCUCCAUCCUUCAGGCGCCGGGUGGCUCCUCAAAUGCACGGUGCUCCAGCCCAUGCCCAGCUCACUCGCCUCCUACGGGGGGUAACGCCUCUGAACUGCUGUCCUACUUCUCCAUUUGUCCCCCUUACAGACUCUUCUCAACAGAGAGAAUUUUAAAACCGUAAGUCAGAUCAUGUCUCUUCUCUGCUCAAAAUGCUGGUGCUGCUUUCAUGCAGAAGAGCUGAAGCCUGUGAACUAGGCGAUGGGAUAGUUGCUUCCCACUUACCUCUUAGCACAUUCCUCCUAGCUCACUCUGCUUCCCCCAGGCCCCUCUGCUGUUCCUGAACACACUAGAGUACUUGUGCCUCAGGGCCUUUGCAGUGACUUUCCCUUCUGCCAGGGAUGUUCUUCCUUCAAGUAUCCACAUGGCUAAUCUCUCGCCACUUCCAGUCUUUCCUCAGCUGUCACCAUUUGCAUGAGGCCUGCCCCACCCACCCUACUCAAAACCCCAACGCCUUGAUUCUACUUUCUCUCCUGCCACACAUUUCACUGGCUCCUAACAUAUCAUUCAUUCUGUUUCUUGUGCUAGAAUCUAAGGGCAGGCGUCUUUGUUUGCUCCGUGACACAUCCCUGGCACCGCGGGGCACGGGGUUUGGGAGUCUGAUUUCAGGACAGCUUCUACUACGGGACAUUGGGUGACGCUAGAAUGCACCCUGCAGAGGACGCACUGGAAAGGACUCCUGUGCUGCCGGAACAGCAAGCCAUGGCUGAAUCUGGCGUGAUCUUCCCCUUCCUCUCGGCUCUGCCUCAACAGUCUCCUUUUAGCCUCGUGUGUCCUUGCUACUCCAUCGUGGCCACAGGGCCUUUCAACACGCUGCUGCCUCUGCUUGGAUGGUGGGUCAAUCCCUUGCUCGUCAGAUUAACUGCUACUCAUCAUCUGGAUUUUGGUUCCUGGUCAUCUCUUCAGGGAUGCCAUCCCCUGCUAAAUCGAAUCUCUAUCAUCUUUU